AAAAAGAUAAGCUAAUAAAGCUAUUGGGUUCAUACCCCAAAUAUAAAGGUCCCAAUCCUUUUUUUUUUA
This 69-nucleotide transfer RNA is filed under the name Howea angulata. RNAcentral's name for it is "tRNA-Met". It matches the Rfam family "tRNA". Rfam says of the family: Transfer RNA (tRNA) molecules are approximately 80 nucleotides in length. Lineage: Eukaryota; Metazoa; Arthropoda; Insecta; Coleoptera; Cerambycidae. The record is from RNAcentral.